RNAcentral lists this ribosomal RNA (441 nucleotides) under Limnogonus hungerfordi. Its description in RNAcentral is "partial 16S large subunit ribosomal RNA". The record is from RNAcentral. Lineage: Eukaryota; Metazoa; Arthropoda; Insecta; Hemiptera; Gerridae.
GGUCUUUAGUUUUUAAUUUAAGAUCAGGCCUGCCCAUUGAUUUGAAAGAUUAAAAGGCUGCGGUAUUUUAACUGUACGAAGGUAGCAUAAUCAUUUGUCUUUUAAUUGGAGGCUAGAAUGAAUGGUUUGAUGAGAAAUAGACUUUCUUUUUUUAAUUUAUAUUAAUUUAAUUUUUUAGUUAAAAAGCUAAAAUUUUUUUAUAGGACGAGAAGACCCUAUAGAAGUUUACUGUAUUAAUAAUUCUUUGUUUUUUGUUGUUAAAAUAUUUUUUUAAAUUAUAUAGUUUUGUUGGGGUGACAUUAAAAUUUAUUAAACUUUUAAUUAUUUUUUCAUUAAUUUAUGUUUUUUUGAUCCAAUAUUUAUUGAUUAUAAGUUUAACUUACCUUAGGGAUAACAGCGUAAUUUUUUCGGAGAGUUCAUAUCGAUGAAUAAAGUUUGCGA